This is a long non-coding RNA of Alligator mississippiensis (American alligator), 7871 nucleotides long. RefSeq lists it as uncharacterized. NCBI's taxonomy places the organism in Eukaryota, Metazoa, Chordata, Crocodylia, Alligatoridae. The record is from RefSeq and is a predicted model, not a curated record. The transcript is spliced from 8 exons.
CAGAGAAGGCAAUCAGGUUGGUCAGGCAUGACGUGCCCUUGGUGAAUACAUGCUGACUGUUCCUAAUCACCUUCUUCUCCUCCAAGUGCUCAGAAAUGGAUUCCUUGAGGACCUGCCACAUGAUCUUGCCAGGGACUGAGGUGAGGCUGACUAGACUGUAGUUCUCUGGAUCCUUCUUCUUCCCCUUCUUAAAGAUGGGCACUAUAUUUGGCCUUUUCCAGUCCUUCAGGACCUCUCCCAAUCAUCAUGCAUUUUCAAACAUGGUGGCCAGAGGCUGUGCAACACAUCAGCUGACUCACUCCACACACUUGGGUGCAUCCCAUCCAGCCCCAUGGACAUGGUUCAGCUUUUCUAAAUGGUCCCUAACCUAUUCUUUUGCUACUGACUGCCUCACUUGCUCCCCAAACUAUGCUGCCAGGUGCAGUAGUCUGGGAGCUGACCUUGCCUGUGAAGACUGAGAUGAAAAAGGCACUGAGCAUGUCAGCCUUUUCCUCAUCAUCUGCCACUAGGUUGCCUCCCCUAUUUAGUAAGGGGAGAAUGUGAGCAGUUUUCCUGAUCGUCCUCUUGUUUCUGACACUUGUAGAACCCCUUUUUGUUACCUUUCAUGUCCCUUGCUAGUUGCAACUUCAGUUGUGGUUUGACCUUUCUGAUUUCAUCCCGGCAUUCCUGAACAAUACUCUUCUAUGCUUCCCUAGUCAUUUGUCCAGUUUCCACUUCUUGUAAGCUUCCUUUUUAUAUUUUAGCUCACUGAACAGUUUCCUGCCAAGCCAAGGGGGUCUUCUACCAUGCUUGCUAAUCUUCACCAUUACAAGGGGCAUGGCCAUUAUGGGCUAGUCCAAUAUGUAGUAGCACCACUCUACACAAGACCCUUAUCCUUACUAGCCACCUUCCUACCACAUAUACUACCUAUACUUCAAGAAAUACAUCUGCAUUACCGUGUUUAUCAUUCCUUGUUCUAAUUUUAUAAAUUAAAAGCAUUGUGGGUAGCAAGGACUGUGAGCUGUAAAGAAUGUGGGAGACAACAACAGAUCACUACUGGAGAUGCAACAUAAAUCAAGAAAUCAUAAUGGCAUUGAAUAAUUUCAGAAGUUAGAUCAGUUUCAAACUAAGAAAAUAUCAGGGCUUGCUCCUAUACUCAGGGGAAAUCUUGCUUCUGUAAAAAGUCUCUACCCUGGUCUGUAUCCAAUAAAAUAACCAGCUAUGCAUUUUUUGUAUGACUCAGCCAUAGCAGAGGCAUAUUUGGUCCCAAAGCAUAGAAUACAGUUGUAACAAUAUCAAAUUUUAAUUUCCCAACAUAAAAGAACUUGGCCUGCCAAAUGGAUUGGACUUGACUGCACACAAGUUACUCCUUUCCUGAGGUUAAAAUUAACUGCUGUGCCUUUGAAAAAUUCUCGCAACAUUGCUCUCCUGUGCUAUCAAUCAUUGCUCUUGUGAGACUUGGUAAGAAAGGUCACAGAUGAUAUGAAGAUAGGUAUUUUGUUCCUUUCUGCAUACAAGAAUAAAUUAUGCAUUAACAGAACUAAGUGAGAAAAAGGUGGAGUUGAGGAAAGUUCCAACUUGCCUGUGUUUCUCAAACAAAAGUGCAGAAGGCAAAUAAUUAUCUGUUUUUGCAAAUUAGUGAGUGUUGCAGAUGGAAAAAGGGCCAUGUAACUGCUGUUUCUUGAUUAGUUGUCUGCUUAUUGAUUGAGUGUUGAUGAGUAACAGCAUCUUAUGAAAACUGUAGAAGAUAUUCAGUUCAUGAUACUGGAAAUUUAUCAUUAAAAAAAGAACAGAGGAUGGUGUGGCUAAAUGUCCUGUACUGCCUGGAAUAACUCAUCUGUAGUGUUCAAGUAUUAGUGAAAUGGGGCCUUGAGAAUGAGGCUGGUGUAAAUCCAUGGUAAUUACAUUAACCAUAUUGACUUCAGUAGACAGACUCUCCAUACACACUGCUAAUCUCAAGGAGAGUUUGGGCCACAGCUUGUCAUCACAUUUUACAUUAGACUUUCAAAAUGUACAUAUACUAUGAAAUAAGCAAAGCAAAGCCAAAGCUGCUAGCUAUGCAACACUACCAAGAACUUUGAAAGUGCAGCUUCCCUCUCCUCCAAAAAACUAGCUGUAGGAGUUAUUUCAAGGGAAGGUAAUACAGUUCUUAUCUCUUUGAACAUAAGAAGGCAACAUCACACCUGCUCCAUCCAUCCAGCCCCAAUACUAAAAUGUAUAUUUUUGUUGUAUAACGAUGGAAACCUGGGUCAUCCUGUACUUUUCAGGCAGUACAUACUGUUAAAACAGAAGACUAUUCACCCUGAAACAGGUAAAAAUCAUUUACUUGGCUAUUAUCAGAAAGCACUCAUUUCCCUGCCCCCCUAUCCCCCCAAGCUUUGUUGAGCUCCUUGUCCUUGCUCACUGGAAUGUGUUUUUCAUCUUUGGUCAUCUCCAUGGAGACCAGAAAGUAGAUUUUAUAGUUCCAGUAAAUUAUGAAUUCAUACAUAGUUCUACCAAUUAAGCCUUUGUACACUGUCAUGGUCAUCAGGCUAGCAUGAACAGUUUAUAGUGUUUAACAACCUAGCCCUCAAUCUUCUAAGGCACAAAUUGGUGACCAGCGUUCUCAUAACCUAAGUUUCAGUUAAGCACUGCUUGUUAGCUGGCAUGCAGGCCAAGUCCUGUAUAGCUGAAACUGAAAUAGUAGGUCAGCGGAGAAGAAAAGAUCUUCACUGACUCCAAACACAGCUGAAUUGCUAUGUGGCCUGAGCCAUGAUUGUGCUUACACCAGAGAUGCACCAAAGGGAGAGGCAGUGUUUUUGAAAUUAGAGUCUGAUGCGGUAAAAAAACCCAAAACAAAGCAUCAAGCCCAUUCUUUUGGGGUUUAUACAAUCCAUUCAAAUAGACUAGAUGAGUCUCUUAAGGCUGCAAGAGAAUGGUAAAGCCUGGAACUGGUCUGAAUUUAUAAUGUGGUGUUAAAUCCUUUCACUGAAAAAUGGCUCUCAGUGGAAGUUGGCAGGGAAAGAGAAAAUCUCCUUUUAUUUCAAAUCAUUAAGUCAAGUAGUGGGGGAGAGAGAGGAAAGAUUCUAGACUGAAUCAUACAAAAAUGGGGCUGGAAGGGACCUCAGUAGGUCUAGCCCAGCCCUAGGCUCAAGGCAGAAUCAUCCUUGUCUAAGACAUCCUAUACAAGUGUUUGUCUAACUUAUUCUUAAAACUAUAAAAGCAACCCUGUCACAUAGCCACCAGGCCUAUUAACCCAAAACACCAAGAACACUCUAAUCUGCCACAGAGAAAGCAGGGGGUAAGGGUGCUGUCCAAUAUGUCCUGCCACUGCAAGGGCGGGAAACUUUACCAUAAAGAGAAGGAGAAGCAUAAAGGGUAAUGUAGUAGUACAGUGGAACAACUGUGCUGGAUCAGAACACCAAAUCCAUCCAGUCCUGAAUCUUUCCACUGACAACCACCAGGUAUUUCAGAGGAAGGUAUCAGAAGCACUGCAUUUGUUCCAUGAUGCAAUACUUUGCCUACUGAUUAGAACAGUAGAAAAAAAAUCUUCCUUAUCAAGCCUCAAUUUUUUAACUUUAUUUAUUAAUGAAUCCAAGUUAUGAAAUAACAGAUCCAACAUUCAAUGACACAUCCAGUCCCGCAAAAACAGAUACAUACAACAUAUACACACACAGAAUGAUACCAAUCACUUACCAACAGUGCUAGUAUAACACAAAGCAAUACCCACAGAAGUCUUGUGCUCCUUUCCCUUCCCACUCAGUCCCUGACAGCUCCCCAACACCUCCAUCAAUGUUAAACUUUUGUAUUGCUUAAUCUCUCUAUAAUAAUUCACCCACUCCUCCCCGCCAGAACUCCACACAAUGCAAAUCCCACUACCUUCCACUCAUCUCUACUCUCGAAUCUCAGAUUCAUUCCCAAGUGUUAGCUUGUAGCACUUGCACUUCAAUAUUCAUAAAAGUUUCUCAAAUUUUUUGGCUUGGAGGCAGGAAAAAGAUUUUUUUUUUUAAAGCAACUGUCAAAAAUAUUCACCAGAUUUCCAAGUGAGCAUCUUUUUGCCUUCUCCCCUGUAGUACACUCACUUGACAGGACAACACUUCCAUUACUAAAACUUCCCAAACAUUUUUAAGCCAGUCAGUGACUGUAGAGGGUCACUUCUCUUUAAGGCUUUUGUGGCUGUAAUUCUUGCAGUUACUGUAAGUAAUCAAUUCCCUAUGGCACUUAUUUAAGAGUUCUCAUGAAGAUUUGAUAGGAACAGUAAUGGGUUAUCUGGUAGUUGGCACCCUCUUAUUUCCCUUACCGUAUCUCCAACCCUCUACCAGGACAGUUUAAUUCUGGGACACAUCUACCAAAUCCUCCCAACUGACUGCAUUCCUUCUAACAUUUGCCUGUUCUGAUAUCAUACAUGCAUUUAAGUAGGCAAGAUACCAUUGAUAUAGGGUUUUAAAAUAAUCUUAUUAUCAUGCAGAUGGAUGGACGAAGACUAUUGUUGCCGAUGAUCUCCCAUUCUUCAGCACCAAUUUCUGACCCAACGUCAUUAGCCCACUUUAUCAUAAAUGGUGUUUUGUCCUUUAUAUCGAUAUUUAUUGCUUUAUAUAAUAUAGGUAACAAGCCUGUGCGCUUCCUAGCUGUGACCAAUAUUUUCUCAUAUUCUGUCAGUUUUCUACUGAGGUUUACAUUUCUUUGGGGAUGUUGAAAAGUAUCUCAAUCUCAGGUACUGGAAACAUGAGAUUUUAACGUCACCUGAGGUAUGUUGCAAUUUGUUCAAAAGAUCUAAAUAUAUUUUCUUUGAAUAAUUGCCUAAAGUGAUGAAGUUUUAAAUUUGGCGGUACAAAAAAAUGGAAAGACUCCCCUGGUCCUGGAUGAUAUCAACCUUCAAGUAGCUUUAGUUGGAAAGUAGUUGCUUUCCAACUAAAGCUAAGCAAAAGAUGAUUCUUCUGUCCCCUCCUCACCUCCCCCCCCAAUAUCUACAGCAGAUGACAGUUAAAUAUCCUGAAUAACUAGUAAGUAGAUUAAGCUACAUUUUAAAAAAUAUAUUAUUAAUAUUAAUAUUAUUAUAUUAUUGUCAGUCUAGGCCUCUCUUGGCCUGGUAUCUAGUACCAUGUAAACCAGUAUAGCCUGUUCCAUGAUCAGAUUGUUGGCGACUAAACUGGUGCCCCCAUUUGGGCUACCCUGGGUGAGGAGGUGUGUGGACACCCAGCAGGACUAAAAACAAGACCUGUCAAAAGGCAGAUGAGCUCUCUGGGAGCCAAUGACCAUGCAUACCUGAAGAGGAGAUGGGUGCUGCCAGGUCACACUGGCUAAAGAAUCACCAAUGAUGCAAAGCAACUCAACUACUCGGAGGGUUGUUACAGCAUCUAAAAGACCCCUGCAGUUGCAGGGGCCAUGGGACUAACUUGACUAGAUUCUUAUAUGUGUAUUACUUUUGUGAAAGAAACAGGCUUCACUUUAUUGUUUGGUUAUGAAGUUGUCAGAGACUUUUAUUAUACAAGCAGCUGCAGGGGAGAGCACUGAACAGACAGAGCUUUUUCUUAUUAGUGUUGCAUGCCCCCCCAACAGACAAUUGAAGCAAGCUUCUUAUGUGUUUCAAUUCAGGUCACAUGACACAAGAUAUAACAAGUCAAAGAAAAACUGGUUUGAACCAGAAAGUUGCAAGAGGGCAUAGACUGUGGUUUGACCUAUUGACCUCAUAGGCCUACUCAGCUCAACAAGGGAAAAGGGUGGGAGAAAGAGCUGAUUCCAAAAUAGAUGGGGGAAAAAGCAAUCAUUAGCAAAUAGUGCACUAACUCAAAGAAGUCAGCAGAAAUUAAGGCCUGGGGUUUUCUUCUUCCACACUUUCAUGACAUUAUAAUUAAAAACUAAGAGACCAGUGUGCUUCUUUUAUUUAAACUCAUUUGAACGGGUUUUUUGAGACCUCUGAAAUAGUGUGGAUUUGAAUUGAUGCUGUAACAGAGAAUCAGGAGUUUUCCAGCAAGUUUCAUAGUAGGGGAGAACUGAGUUUAAAAAAUAUAAAUGGAGGCUAAGGAUAAGGGUUGGAUAAACUAGAUAUAACCAGACAAAAUAUUUUUUGGAGGAUUUGAGCCUUCAAAAGGCAGCGUAACUGGCCAGUACUGUACCCUGUGCGGUGGCAGUGCACAGUGCAGGGGCAGUGGCCAGAGGUUCACUGUAAUGGAAGAGGAUGUCACUUUCUUUUUUGACCAACAGCAUGUGUUGAGCACCCAAAAAACCCACCAAUUUUCAGCAGCAAAAAAGGAGUUUGUUUCCUUCCACAGCAGCAAGCUUCUGGCUACUGCUCCUGCAUCAUUCACCAUCACUUCUGAUCUGCCCUCCAUGCUGCCAGAGCCAGAGCUGAGGCCUCUUUAGGGAAGGUGCAGAGUGCUUGGGUGGGAUGGGAUAGGGACCGGGGCAGGUGUCAUUCUAGCUCCAUUCCAGUACCCAUGUCACUCAUUCUUACACUAUUGUGAUUCAUUAUCAUUAAAGAAUCAUUAUUGUAGACUGUAUAGCAGGAACUGUUCCUCCAUCUUACUGAGCUAUUCAAAAUAUUCAGAUCAAGUAUGUUACACAAGCUAUUUCUUUUAUUUUAAGCCAAUUGUCUUUUACAUAUCUUCAAUCUUGUGUAUUAACAAACAUCUUUUGUGGGGAUUUCAGGCAGUAUAUUCAGAGGAGAGUAAAAUACUUCAGCUUCUGAGGAGACAUCCAGAAACUAAAAAAGGAUGCCAAGAGCCUAAACCAUGCUCACAGCCUGUCUUCUUCAGUUGAGGUGCUGCAGAAAGCUAUGGCAGAUACCUGCAGGUAGAAGAGUCAAAGAACCAAGAAGCAAAUAUGUUGGCAUCCUGGAUAAUGUUCUCCAGAAACAUUAAAAAAACCCCCACAAGUCUCUUUGAAGAUCAGGUGGAAGAUGUGCUUCAUAGAUUGUAAAGCUGGAAGGGACCUUCGUCUAGCCCCCUGCACCAAGCAGGAAAGAUAACUGGGGUCAGGUGAUCUCAGCAAGGUGACUGUCUAGUCUCCUCUUGAAGAUUUCCAUGGAAAAGACAGAAGCUGGUUUCCCAGUCCACUGAACAACAUUCUCUCCAGUGGAGGUAAAAGGAAAAAUGAGGAUAAGAAGAUGUGGAGAACUGGGAAUUAGCUAGAUGCGUGAAUAUCAUGCAUGCCUCUAUGUGCUUGUUUAUGAUGGAUUUCUAGAUGUGGACUUAUGUCAAAAGGCAUUAAUGGAACCAGGCCAGAAAGGGUUCCCGACCAGAGCCCUGUUACUUGGGGAAAUCCCCGCAGCUGGCGGUCAUGAUGCCCAGGAAAGGGCGGGGGGAGGUUCCCCACGCCACCGGUGAGCCAAUGGGACCCGGCUUCCGGGAAUAUAGGAAGGACGAGGCCCUGAGAAAGAUGCCUUCAGGCACUGAGAGAGCAAGAGGGAGAGAUUGCCCAAGACCCCAGGGAAAGACUACCCCAAACACGGAGUUGAGACGCAAAGAAGGGACCGUACUGCUGCCAGGUCCAUAAAGGUGUCUGAUACCUGCAACGGGACUGCAGUCACUGACGAUAAAAGUUGUGGCAGGCGAGAACCAAAGGAACAGGCGGUACCCCACAGACCCGGUAACAUAUACUUUUUCCAAAGCGGGAGAAGGUUUGAAAAAUUACAAUGAAGAAAGAUGUACCAAUCAGUGAAUGAUCCAAUUGGCUGCUCUGGCUGCUAAUGACAGCAAACAUGAGAUAAACCAAGACGUAACUAAUAUCCAGUAUGCAAAGAACCAGGCAAAAAUUAACUGAAUGGCUAAAAUGCUUGUGUCCUACAGAAAAGUAUGCAAAUAAUCAAUACACAGUGAAGUCGACUCUACUGUACAGCACCUGUUUCACUUCUUUUGAACAUUAUAUCAAACAUGAAAUCAUUAGUGCCUUUAAUAAAACAACGAAUCAAAGCA